Molecule: ribosomal RNA, 250 nt
Filed under: Bradyrhizobium sp. TAL 10
Lineage: Bacteria; Pseudomonadati; Pseudomonadota; Alphaproteobacteria; Hyphomicrobiales; Nitrobacteraceae
Description: partial 16S ribosomal RNA
Source: RNAcentral
CCCAAUGUGGCUGAUCAUCCUCUCAGACCAGCUACUGAUCGUCGCCUUGGUAGGCCGUUACCCUACCAACUAGCUAAUCAGACGCGGGCCGAUCUUUCGGCGAUAAAUCUUUCCCCGUAAGGGCUUAUCCGGUAUUAGCACAAGUUUCCCUGUGUUGUUCCGAACCAAAAGGUACGUUCCCACGCGUUACUCACCCGUCUGCCGCUGACGUANUUUACGCCCGCUCGACUUGCAUGUGUUAAGCCUGCCG